CUCUUUCGGGGGGCGGGACCCCUCGUCUGUGUCUUUCUUCCAGUUCCAACUCCACCAAGCGGAGAGCUGGCUGAGGAGCGUCCCGCAGGAGAGGUUGCUGACGCCGGACACAAAUGGGAACAGGUUGCUGCACAAGGCUGUCGCCCAGGGGAAGAGGGCCCUGGGAUACUACCUGGCUUGGAGGCUGGCCCUUCUGGACAGAAUUGACGAGGAGGAUGCGAGGAAGCAGACUGCAUUGCAUGUAGCCGCUCAAAGGAACCACCACCUUAUAGUCAGUGAUCUGGUCUCCCUGGGAGCGAACGUCAACAAGAGAGAUGGAUCAAAGAAGACUCCGUUGCACCUGUGUGCGGAAAAGGGCUAUGCAAGAGUCCUGGAGGUCUUUAAAAACUGUCAGAGAGGAGGCACCCCUUUAGAAGUGGACGCAACUGACAAUCGGGGUAGGCAAAAAAGACUUCAUCUG
This is a long non-coding RNA of Heteronotia binoei (common prickly gecko), 460 nucleotides long. RefSeq lists it as uncharacterized. Lineage: Eukaryota; Metazoa; Chordata; Lepidosauria; Squamata; Gekkonidae. The record is from RefSeq and is a predicted model, not a curated record. The transcript is spliced from 4 exons.